This is a long non-coding RNA of Hemicordylus capensis (graceful crag lizard), 1262 nucleotides long. RefSeq lists it as uncharacterized. The transcript is spliced from 3 exons. The record is from RefSeq and is a predicted model, not a curated record. Lineage: Eukaryota; Metazoa; Chordata; Lepidosauria; Squamata; Cordylidae.
GGAAUCUCUAUAUAUAAAAGGAUAGUGGGCAAGGGUCUGCGAAGAGAGGGGUUGUGGGGGAGGGAAGAGUCCCUUUAGAAAAAGGAGACUGCCACUGUGUGAAUUAGAUAAGAAGCCACACGUGAUGGCGUGACUUUUAACUCUUACUGUGACUUCCUCAGUGGCUGCUGAUAAGCAUGGACUCUGAACAGGAAACACCUGCCUUACUGUUGCAGUAAACCCAUAUAGGAACCUAUAUCUAGAUGAGCUGCAGGAUUACAACUUCCAACGAAAUAAAAGAGACAUUCCUUUAAAGCAAAGAUUCAGGAAAUGAAUUGGCAUUGAUGCGGGAGAUUGCCUUGCAGUUCUUGGUCACUUUCUAAAUAUGUCUAGAGAAGUGCUUCUAUAUAGGACUGUGGCAGGAGAGGGAAUAUGACUGCACAGCCUCCAAGGAACAAACUAUAAGCCAACCCAAGAAUGAGAAAGAAGUCCUCCUCCUCCUCACCAGUACAAAAAUAUUGCAGUGGAUUCUCAAAAAAAACAUCCCCAUAACAAAAGCAUUAAUUGAAGGAAGAUGCAAAUACUGUAAUCAACAAAUGGAAAAUAAACGUGCACAAAUAUCUGUAAGCUUUCCCCAUGGGGGAAAUAGCAGCUUUGGGAGCAUGGGAUAAUUUUCUUGUCCAGUGCCCACAAUCCCAAUCCAAAUCCCCAACUCAACUAUGGAAGAUUCAAGCAUAGAUCUUCCACUAGCAUGUCUAGUUGCACCCUCAUUCACUGAACUAUCAGGGCAGAAACCUGUAGUGCUGGUUUCUAACACGCUUAAGAGCUGUGUGCCCAAUGGCUGAUGGGAAACACUGCUUCCUGCAAAUGUAAGCUUUGCAGUAAGGGAUGGGAAGCCAUGAAAAGGGAGUUGGAGUUGGAUAUUUGCAUUGUUCAUGUCAGUUUAAAAUUAUCUGAAAGCUUAAGAAAGAAACUUUAUUUCCUUCCAUAGCAUUCAAGAAAUUUCACAAGUACAUCACAACCAAGUUGCUGCUUCGGCAAGGUUGUAGAGAACAAACUCACUUUAUCUACCAGUCAGAUGAAUUUAUAGUAAACUGCAACUACGGAUGUGCACGGGCCUCUGGACAGGUCUGAACAGUCAGUGGUUUGGCCAGUUUGAAAGUGGCGGUGAGGGGAAAACCUUUAAAGGCGGAGGAAGAUCACUUAUCCCCACCCCCGCUGCAUUUCCUCCACCAGUGCUCUCUUGAAAACCAGGCCAGCAGGACGGCAGCGUACCUCUCUGC